UUUUAUUUUACCUUAAAAUAAAUCACUAAUCACAUUAAAUGAAUGAAUCUCUAGAAAUGACUUUGUCAAAGCAACAGAAUGACUAGGGCUUUACRAUGGUGGUGACAACUUUUGGGGUUUAAAGGGGCAGUCAGCAGUUGCUACGUCCAUUUUUGAUUCUUGAAGAAUAUAACUGAUAAAUACCUUCCGUGAGCUUAGUUCCMCUKUCACAGCACAUCAGUCCUUGCAUCCAUAGCCCUGUCUAUUGAAUUUGAGUGGUUACAUUUCUUCAGUAAUUUAUUGUUUCUACUGCUGAUUGCAGCUUUAAGUGGGUUAAAAAUCUUCCUAGAAGUCAAAGGGAAAUGCCAAAAUACUGACUUUAUGSCACCGUAGCAAGUCUUUUCAUAUUAAAAGUCAGAUUUUGUGGUCUAUAUUAAAGGGCACUUCAUUUAAUAUAGAAGGCUGUUAAAAUACAGUAUUGGUGCACAGUUGUUACUUAAAUAUCAAAGGGAUGCAAAAUAAACGUUUGUGGAACAACCCUGUUCAGUGUUGCUUCAGGUCCUCCUGCUUCAGGUCCUCCUGCUUCAGGUCCUCCUUAUAAACCAGCCAUCUUCAUUAACAAAGAAACUGUCACGCUGAAAUGGCUGCUUAUAGCAUAUUUUCACAAUAUUUUCACAUAUUUCCCCCCCCACAACCUAUAACCAAGAUAAAGCUUGAACCGUGACCAAGGCGAUUGGCUAGUGGGUCAUUCAUGUUUUUAAGCUUUUGUUUUGCAACUGUGUUUACUGCCUGUUUGCGAGUAGAUCAGAGAGAAAUACUGUUUUAUUUAUCCACAAUAAUUACUGUUCUUGUCAGAUGGUAAAAAAAAAAAAACAUGUCAAAGG
Molecule: non-coding RNA, 863 nt
Organism: Salvelinus sp. IW2-2015
Lineage: Eukaryota; Metazoa; Chordata; Actinopteri; Salmoniformes; Salmonidae
Source: RefSeq, a predicted model, not a curated record